GGGAGAAAGGGAUUACAGUUGAUAUUCUGUAACUGACAACAGUUCGCGGCAACGCAUACUAUUUUUCUCCGCCAAUCUUAUACCGUUGGUAGGGAUCUCUUUCCUACAUGACAGUACUAAUACCCAGGGAAACUGGUCAUCAGGCGAACUGCGGCGUUCUGCUGGCAAAACAUAGCUUCGGUUAUGUCAAUGGCUAUUGGAUUGGUCCAUGAAGCGAAAAAUAGUUUACUGUGUCACUCGUACCGAUAACCGCAUCAGGUCUUCUAGGUAAGUAGCCUAUGGCCAUUGAGGCAUGAUAGUUCAGGGAAUUCGGCCAAUUAGAGCUGUAACUUCGGGAUAAAGCUUGGCUCUGAUGAAAAUCAGAACCGAUUGUUACGCGGAGAGCCCAACUGUUUAAUAAAAACGUAGUGUCGCGCUGUGGUAGUAUAGCCAGUGAACGCGACAUGAAUCCUGCUCAGUGCUGUGUCUGUUAAUAUGGUUCAAGCCAACGAAGCACCGGUAAAUAGCUGGGGUAACUAUGACUCUUAUCAAAGUAGCGAAAUACCUCGUCACUUAAUUAGUGACCUGCAUGAACGGAGCUAUGAGGUUCUCACUGUCCCAAACUGUCUCUCAGCGAACCAACUGUAGUGGGAACGGUCACUAGAUAUCCAGCGGGGAAAGAAGACCCUGUAGAGCUUCACUUUGGUCUAGUCUUGUAUAGUUCCUGCGGGGGUGUAGACUAGGUGGGAGAGCCAUCGAUUCUGAAAAACCACUACCCUGUUUGGGAAUAUGCUACCUAUCACAAGGAAUAGGACUAGAUAGAAAGUUUUGCUGGGGGCGGCACACCCUUCAAAGAGCAGC
RNAcentral lists this non-coding RNA (840 nucleotides) under Trichomonas vaginalis G3. RNAcentral's name for it is "Eukaryotic large subunit ribosomal RNA". It matches the Rfam family "Eukaryotic large subunit ribosomal RNA", at positions 1592 to 2653 of the family's 3401-position model. The record is from Rfam by way of RNAcentral. Lineage: Eukaryota; Parabasalia; Trichomonadida; Trichomonadidae.